GAUGAACGCUGGCGGCGUGCCUAGUACAUGCAAGUCGAGCGAACGGACGAGAAGCUUGCUUCUCUGAUGUUAGCGGCGGACGGGUGAGUAACACGUGGAUAACCUACCUAUAAGACUGGGAUAACUUCGGGAAACCGGAGCUAAUACCGGAUAAUAUUUUGAACCGCAUGGUUCAAAAGUGAAAGACGGUCUUGCUGUCACUUAUAGAUGGAUCCGCGCUGCAUUAGCUAGUUGGUAAGGUAACGGCUUACCAAGGCAACGAUGCAUAGCCGACCUGAGAGGGUGAUCGGCCACACUGGAACUGAGACACGGUCCAGACUCCUACGGGAGGCAGCAGUAGGGAAUCUUCCGCAAUGGGCGAAAGCCUGACGGAGCAACGCCGCGUGAGUGAUGAAGGUCUUCGGAUCGUAAAACUCUGUUAUUAGGGAAGAACAUAUGUGUAAGUAACUGUGCACAUCUUGACGGUACCUAAUCAGAAAGCCACGGCUAACUACGU
This 496-nucleotide ribosomal RNA is filed under the name uncultured bacterium. Its description in RNAcentral is "partial 16S ribosomal RNA". It matches the Rfam family "Bacterial small subunit ribosomal RNA", at positions 28 to 506 of the family's 1533-position model. The record is from RNAcentral.